Molecule: long non-coding RNA, 831 nt
Filed under: Cercocebus atys (sooty mangabey)
Lineage: Eukaryota; Metazoa; Chordata; Mammalia; Primates; Cercopithecidae
Description: lncRNA (ENSCATG00000045530.1)
Source: RNAcentral
CCCGCGGCACCCGCGGCCCCGCGCUGCGCGGACGGCGGGCAGCACCGUGCCCGGGCCCCCUCCUGCUCCGUCCUGUUAGGAAGCCCACUAGAGCAAGAAGAUGAAGGGCAGAACUGAGGCUGGGGUCCCAGAGUCCUGCUUUUCAACUCAUCCUCAUCACCCUCAAUCCCAGGUGCCCCAUGGAAUUCACAGAGCUACCCCGAGCACCUUUGGAAAGCCUCUGCGUGGAGAAUGAAUCAGAGAAGACUUUGCUGAAUCUCUGCAGAUUUCCAGGAAGCCUGAGAGAAGAGGGCUGAGAGAAGAGGGCUGGCGAAGGAGGCUUCGUGCUUUUGUUCUCAGUGCCCCUCAGGGCUCCUCAUCCUUGUUCCAUUGACCAAUGAUGAUGCCACCUGCUGGAGGCUGGGUCCAGCUAUCAGUUCUCCCUCUGGUCAGGUUGCCUUUGCAUGGAGAACAGGGUACAAGAGUAGCCAGGGAAGCCCUAGGAGAUGCAAGUUGGGUGUCCCCUGAGGGGUCCAGGGACAUUCUCACCACCACCCCCAUCUUCCUCUGCCUGGCUCCACUGCUGCACUGACCAUAUUCUCCCUGCUUGUAGAAUUAAAAGGAAAAUACAUGGAAGAUCAUAGAUUUUACAAUUCGUCACCUAAAUGGAGGAGUCUCGGCUGCCUUAGACAUUUUCUUUUUUCUUUUUAAAUGACAACUUUACAUUUCUUUUUAAUUAAACAUUUUUUUUUGCCUUAAGCUUUUCUUUACACAUUAAAAAGAAAGUGGGGAUGGGGUUGUAAUGUGAUUUUAAUAAAUAUGUGAAUAAAUAAAUAUUUUUGAAAAGAUGGA